This 468-nucleotide ribosomal RNA is filed under the name uncultured bacterium. RNAcentral's name for it is "partial 16S ribosomal RNA". It matches the Rfam family "Bacterial small subunit ribosomal RNA", at positions 28 to 507 of the family's 1533-position model. The record is from RNAcentral.
GACGAACGCUGGCGGCGUGCUUAACACAUGCAAGUCGAACGGAAAGGCCCUGCUUUUGUGGGGUGCUCGAGUGGCGAACGGGUGAGUAACACGUGAGUAACCUGCCCUUGACUUUGGGAUAACUUCAGGAAACUGGGGCUAAUACCGGAUAGGAGCUCCUGCCGCAUGGUGGGGGUUGGAAAGUUUCGGCGGUUGGGGAUGGACUCGCGGCUUAUCAGCUUGUUGGUGGGGUAGUGGCUUACCAAGGCUUUGACGGGUAGCCGGCCUGAGAGGGUGACCGGCCACAUUGGGACUGAGAUACGGCCCAGACUCCUACGGGAGGCAGCAGUGGGGAAUAUUGCACAAUGGGCGGAAGCCUGAUGCAGCAACGCCGCGUGCGGGAUGACGGCCUUCGGAUUGUAAACCGCUUUCGCCUGUGACGAAGCGUGAGUGACGGUAAUGGGUAAAGAAGCACCGGCUAACUACGUG